RNAcentral lists this long non-coding RNA (1010 nucleotides) under Callithrix jacchus (white-tufted-ear marmoset). RNAcentral's name for it is "lncRNA (ENSCJAG00000085927.1)". The record is from RNAcentral. Lineage: Eukaryota; Metazoa; Chordata; Mammalia; Primates; Cebidae.
UGAGGUGGGUGGAUCACAAGGUCAAGAGAUGGAAACCAUCCUGGCCCAACAUGGUGAAACCCCUUCUCUACUAAAAAUGCAAAAGUUAGCUAGUCCUGGUGGUAAUCACCUGCAGUCCCAGAUACUCAGGAGGCUGAGCAGGAGAAUCACUUGAACCUGGGAGGCAGAGGUUGCAGUGAGCUGAGAUUGCUCCACUGCACUCCAACCUGACAACAGAGCUAGACUCCGUCUAAAAAAAAAAAAAAAAAAAAAGACAGAAAAAAGAAACUAGAAAUAUUUGUAUUUAAAAUUUUAAGGAAUGCUUUUCAUUUAAAGGGGACUAGGGCUUUAAUUUUUUUUUUUUUUUUUUUUUGCACAGGGUUUAUUAUUCAGAAGAUAUUAAUUAGAAACGGCGAGAAGUGCCAGAUAACCAGACUUUCACCAGUUGGAGGUGGCCUCUGUGGCAUGGAGAUUAUUGGAAUAUCCAAAUGUGUGUGAUUGUAUGAGAGCAAAUGAGAUAAUCUGGCCCUUGUCUGGAAGCCUGAGGAUAGAUUCUGAAAGUGGCUGAGGUGGGCAGAUCACCUGAGGUCAGGAGUUCAAUACCAGCCUGGUCAACAUGGUGAAAUCUUAUCUCUACUAAAAAUACAAAAAUUAGCCAGUGUGGUGUCAGACACCUGUAAUUCCCAGCUACUUAGGAGGAUGAGGCAGGAGAAUCACUUGAACCCAUGAAGGGGAGGUUGCAGUGAGCUGAUAGUGCAUGACUUCACUCCAGCCUGGGCAACAGAUUGAGACUUCAUCUCCAAGAAAAAAGGGAAGGAAGGAACGGAGGGAGGGAGGGAGGGAGGGAGGGAGGGAGGGAGGGGCCAUAUCUAGCUAGUAAAAUGGCUUUAUUGUCCUUCUGUUCCCUUCUGUCAUCAUAAAAUAUUUGGUAAAGUUCUAUGUAAUGUCAUUGCAUUAUCUGUAAAGUCUUAGGCACUUCACUUAUGUGAAGUCACAAUUUAGUUUCUACAUCAGUGUAAUGUACAGAAUUA